UACAGAGGGUGCGAGCGUUAAUCGGAAUUACUGGGCGUAAAGCGUGCGUAGACGGUUAUUUAAGUCGGAUGUGAAAGCCCCGGGCUCAACCUGGGAAUUGCAUUCGAGACUGAAUAGCUAGGGUGCGGUAGAGGGAAGCGGAAUUUCCGAUGUAGCGGUGAAAUGCGUAGAUAUCGGAAGGAACAUCAGUGGCGAAAGCGGCUUCCUGGACCAGCACCGACGUUCAGGCACGAAAGCGUGGGGAGCAAACAGG
Molecule: ribosomal RNA, 253 nt
Filed under: uncultured bacterium
Lineage: Bacteria
Description: partial 16S ribosomal RNA
Rfam family: Bacterial small subunit ribosomal RNA
Source: RNAcentral